This 480-nucleotide long non-coding RNA is filed under the name Calidris pugnax (ruff). RNAcentral describes it as "lncRNA (ENSCPUG00000001835.1)". Lineage: Eukaryota; Metazoa; Chordata; Aves; Charadriiformes; Scolopacidae. The record is from RNAcentral.
AUUUUAUUCCUUAUUUUCUGAUAGGAAUAAAGCCAAAGGGCAGAGUUAGCAUUAAGAAUGCCUGUGGAUACUGAGACAUGCAAAGCUUACAGCAAGACUCCUGUUUGAUCUCUGAUCUUCCCAACUCCAUGACUUCUCCCUCUGCCUCACUCUGCCUUCCCCCCACCCACUGCUAACCAUUUUCUUGUGCGAGGUAUGUUCACAGGAGCUGAAAAGAAGAUUGGAAGAAAAGGAAAACAAACUUCUAAAGGAAAAACUUAAAAUAUCAGAAGAAAGAAGUUUAGUCAUACAACAGGACAACAUCUUAGAGGACAUGCAGACAAAAAUAAACCACCUAGAAGAGCAGCUCCAGCACCCUGAACUAAUUGGGUUGAACUCUUUGUGGCCGUUUGGCAGGCUCUUACUGCAUCAUACUGGCCUUGUUUUAUACUAUCUGGACAUGUUUGCAACCGGACAGAAUCUUCCACUCCUACUACAAAU